AAAAAAAGCCUGAGGAAAGGGUUAAUUUGAUAGAUUAAAUCACGCUAACAGCAUUAGAAUAACCCU
This 66-nucleotide transfer RNA is filed under the name Phyxioschema suthepium. Its description in RNAcentral is "tRNA-Ile". Lineage: Eukaryota; Metazoa; Arthropoda; Arachnida; Araneae; Euagridae. The record is from RNAcentral.